Molecule: ribosomal RNA, 200 nt
Filed under: uncultured bacterium
Lineage: Bacteria
Description: partial 16S ribosomal RNA
Rfam family: Bacterial small subunit ribosomal RNA
Source: RNAcentral
AGAGUUUGAUCCUGGCUCAGGAUGAACGCUGGCGGCGUGCCUAAUACAUGCAAGUCGUGCGGUAACAGGUCUAGUUUACUAGAUGCUGACGAGCGGCGGACGGCUGAGUAACGCGUAGGAAUUUACCCUAAAGUGAGGGAUAACUGCCCGAAAGGGUAGCUAAUACCGCAUGUGCUCUUCGGAGUAAAGCUAUUAGCGCU